UGUCUCGUUGGUGAACCAGCGGAGGGAUCAUU
Molecule: ribosomal RNA, 32 nt
Filed under: Emericellopsis pallida
Lineage: Eukaryota; Fungi; Ascomycota; Sordariomycetes; Hypocreales; Bionectriaceae
Description: partial 18S ribosomal RNA
Source: RNAcentral